This 468-nucleotide ribosomal RNA is filed under the name uncultured bacterium. Its description in RNAcentral is "partial 16S ribosomal RNA". It matches the Rfam family "Bacterial small subunit ribosomal RNA", at positions 28 to 507 of the family's 1533-position model. The record is from RNAcentral.
GACGAACGCUGGCGGCGUGCUUAACACAUGCAAGUCGAACGGAGAGGCCCUGCUUUUGUGGGGUGCUCGAGUGGCGAACGGGUGAGUAACACGUGAGUAACCUGCCCUUGACUCUGGGAUAACUUCUGGAAACGGGGGCUAAUACCGGAUACGAACCUCGCCUGCAUGGUGGGGGUUGGGAAGGUUCGGCGGUUGGGGAUGGACUCGCGGCUUAUCAGCUUGUUGGUGGGGUAGUGGCUUACCAAGGCUUUGACGGGUAGCCGGCCUGAGAGGGUGACCGGCCACAUUGGGACUGAGAUACGGCCCAGACUCCUACGGGAGGCAGCAGUGGGGAAUAUUGCACAAUGGGCGGAAGCCUGAUGCAGCAACGCCGCGUGCGGGAUGACGGCCUUCGGGUUGUAAACCGCUUUCGCCUGGGACGAAGCGUGAGUGACGGUAAUGGGUAAAGAAGCACCGGCUAACUACGUG